UUUCGCAUUCGACUUAAAAAGAAGAAGAGAUGCGCCACGAAUCGUGCAGGCCUUUUUUUAGAUGGUGCUGGCAAAACUAAGCCAUGGAUUAAAAGCACAAAGGGAAGGCUUCCCAAGUAUCUUUAGCAUGCACAACACCCGUACAACUAUUGGAGCACCCAACGAUAAAAAUGAUUGGCAACACAACGUAGCGAUCAAAUACCAAGGUUUCCAACAUUGUACCCCCACAAACACUUGGAUAAGAGGAGGGGCGGUACAAACAACAUCAUUGAUCAUUCUUAUUCCGAAGCGGGUCCGUUUUCCACGAAGGCAACAUGAAACCUAGCGAAAUUCGACGCAUAGGCGAGAAAAGUUAUGGUGCUCGUCAGUUGGCCGCAACAAAGCGGGGAGCCUGACGUAGCACACACAUCAACAACCACUCACAUGCCGUCACGGUCACAACCCAGCAAGGCCCUCCGCCUUUCCCCCAAACGAUGAAAAA
RNAcentral lists this ribosomal RNA (481 nucleotides) under Allium anceps. RNAcentral describes it as "partial external transcribed spacer". Lineage: Eukaryota; Viridiplantae; Streptophyta; Magnoliopsida; Asparagales; Amaryllidaceae. The record is from RNAcentral.